This 796-nucleotide long non-coding RNA is filed under the name Elaeis guineensis (African oil palm). RNAcentral's name for it is "long non-coding RNA (EGUI_LNC024930)". The record is from RNAcentral. Lineage: Eukaryota; Viridiplantae; Streptophyta; Magnoliopsida; Arecales; Arecaceae.
CUCUCUCUCUCUCUCUCUCUCUCUCUCUCUCUCUCUCUCUCUAAUGGGGAACUCAAAUGCUGACUCAAGUGAGCACUCUCUCUUGAGCAAGGGAGGGAGAAGGGGGACCAGUGAGGGGAGGCAUCAACACAAGAAAUGGAACUUCUUGGGAACAUCAUUGAUCCGAAGGAUGAUAGGGAGUCUUCCAAGCAGAUCAGCAGCUGCAAAGGAGCAAAUGCAUGCCUCCUCUUUUCAUAGAUUGGCUUCUUGCUGAUACUUUAAGAAUGCAGUCUGGUUCCAUUGCUUCCAAGCGUUUGUUUUUUAGUUUUUCCUCCUCCCUUUGCAAUAGAGGAUGUUUAGAUGCAUCCAGCAAAAACUUCUUACAACGUUAACAUUUUGGUGCAGCGAAGUCGCAGCCAACAAUAGUUAGCUUGAAGAUGUUUGUUUGGUGUAAAAUCUUGUAAUGCUGUUGCCAAAGAUGCUUUCUUGUAAUGCCAUUGCAAAAUCAGUGGUUAACCCCCUUGGAUGGCCAGCCAAGUAAAAUGGAUCACUUUUGUUGGUAGUGGCGUUCUUUCAGGCAACGAACAUCAGCCAAUUACCAGUCCAUAUCUAAGAAAAUUCUAAGCGGUAAUAGUUUGAACAAGAAUCAAGUGGAGCCUAGUUGGAUGUCCCCAUAGACAUUUACAACAAUCAUGUAGACAACUAAGAGAUGGAUGCUGGAUUCCCCCCUUGAAAGGUGAUUUCAGUCAUCCUGGUCUUCUUUGGAAACGUGUGAUGGGAGGUUUCCUUGAUUGGAAAAUUUCUCUCUUCCACUGCC